RNAcentral lists this ribosomal RNA (468 nucleotides) under uncultured bacterium. RNAcentral's name for it is "partial 16S ribosomal RNA". It matches the Rfam family "Bacterial small subunit ribosomal RNA", at positions 28 to 523 of the family's 1533-position model. The record is from RNAcentral.
GAUGAACGCUGGCGGCGUGCCUAACACAUGCAAGUCGAGCGAUUCUCUUCGGAGAAGAGCGGCGGACGGGUGAGUAACGCGUGGGUAACCUGCCCUGUACACACGGAUAACAUACCGAAAGGUAUGAUAAUACGAGAUAAUAUACAUUUAUCGCCUGGUAGCAGUAUCAAAGCUCCGGCGGUACAGGAUGGACCCGCGUCGGAUUAGCUCGGUGGUAAGGUAACGGCUUACCAAGGCGACGAUCAGUAGCCGGCCUGAGAGGGUGAUCGGCCACAUUGGAACUGAGACACGGUCCAAACUCCUACGGGAGGCAGCAGUGGGGAAUAUUGCACAAUGGGCGAAAGCCUGAUGCAGCAACGCCGCGAGAGCGAUGAAGGCCUUCGGGUCGUAAAGCUCUGUCCUCAAGAAAGAUAAUGACGGUACUUGAGGAGGAAGCCCCGGCUAACUACGUGCCAGCCGCCGCCGUAA